RNAcentral lists this long non-coding RNA (1220 nucleotides) under Meleagris gallopavo (turkey). RNAcentral describes it as "lncRNA (ENSMGAG00000019290.1)". Lineage: Eukaryota; Metazoa; Chordata; Aves; Galliformes; Phasianidae. The record is from RNAcentral.
UCAUUAAAAAGGCAUUUCCUUCAGAGAAGCUGAUUAGAUAGCUGUUUCUUCUCCUAGAUGCUGAAGAUCUGGAGAACACCUCAGUGAGGCAAAAAAGGGCAGGAAAUUAAGGCACAUUACUUUAACAAGAGGUGCUGGUUCACCCUGGAAUCUCCCACUAUUAAAACAGUUAACAGAGGAGAUUUGUAAAUGAGAAUUGGAUGGCUUGUCUGCAAUCUACAUUGCAUAAACCUGGCUCCUAACCUCUAAUUAUGGUUUUCCUAAAGAAAUGAGACUCAGCUCUGAAGGGAGCUGAGCAAUCUCUAAUGCCAUUGACUCCAUGAGACCCGAGGGCAUGCAGCUCUUUUACAGGGAAGCUGAGCACCCUGAGAUCGUGGUCUAAAUGGGAAUCAGAAUGCCUUUUGGAUUAAAGCAAUGUGAUUUAGCAAACACACUAUAAUUGUGGAGUACUUGCAAAUAUUGACAUCAGUCUGAUGCUGAAAAUUAAUUUGCAGAAUCAGAAACUGAAAAGCAAACUGGACAAUAGACUGCCACUUUGGUAACUGUUAAUGAGCAUCUCUCAAUGAAGCGAUUGUCCAAACUAGAAGGUGUCAUUUAAUAAAAGAAACUGUCCAAUGUCUUUUUUGUAAGGGUGAGAUUUUGAAGCUCUAAGUCCGGAAGAUUUUUCUAUUUAGUCAAUUAACUAUAAUUUAAAAAUAAAGGAGUUCACAGCUACCAAUGAUACAUGGCACUUCUGCUCAGCUCUGAGCAUCAGUCUUAGAGUGUCAGCCCAAAGUUCAUCCUCAGCAUUUCAUUCUGGCUGCUUAUUUUUCUUUCUGUGUUUGUUUGCUUUGUUAACAGGGCACAAUGUGGCUCUUUCCCCGUGCUGGAUGUUGUCAAACAGAACCACUUUCCACCUCUGAGCUGGAGUACCAGAGUCUGUAACACACAUUGAAGUCACAGAUGUAAGGCCUGCUGUACACCACUGUGCAGGACGUUCUGUCAAGCUCAGCUCGCACAGACCAACCUUUGCAUUGCGUCCUUUUUUGGCCAGAACUGAGUUCUCUCACCCCACCAACUUCUCUGUGAUGCCAGGUCAGUUCAACAGCAGCAGCCAGCAGUCUUCCUGGGUGUUACCUUAUAUACGUACGUAAUUUCAGUUGAGCUCCCUUGAUGUAAAAGAACACCCUUUUGUCACCUUAGCUAUGCCCAUGCGUUCAGGUACCAUAAGGUCAGUCACC